AUUCCUCCUGUUCAGAAGCAAGAAACAAACAAAAUCAAUAAGUACUCAUUAAUUAAGAAAACAGAGCAUUAUUAUGAAAUCAUACACAUGGAAAACUUAUCAACAAUAAAAAUAACGACAAACACCAUUACAUUCUCCUUUAUAGGAGACAAACAGUAUAAACCCCAAGGAAGAGUGAUUUCUCUAUGAUCUACCUCACAGGUAGAUUGGAAGCAGAAAAAUAAAUACACAAGAGAGCUUUCAAAUAUGACUUUAAACAAUACGGUGUCCCUACUUGCCUUUAAAAAUGCACUGACUCUUGGGGUUCCAGUCUGUCUGGGGAAAUAAAUUCAAGCUGUUACAACUUAAUACAUCAAUUGCCAUGGUGGAAGUAUGAAAAAACAAUGCCUGGAUAUAUAGAAGCAGGAAGAAUAUUCUCUCUUUUAUGAGAUAAGAGAGUUGAAGGGUUAUUUGUGAGGCCCAAGUUAAAAUAAGCACAAAUUGAAAAUAUAAAGUACUGUAGAAACAUGAGCCAAGGCAAUGAUGCUGGAACUCACCGUAGACCCCUGGCUGCUGUCUGCAUUGGUGCAGCGCAGCUUCCUUUCUUCACAAAAUGACUACAGAAUUCUACUAACAAGUCAUGUGGCUAUGCCUGCUGCCGAAGAGAGAACCCUGAGUCACAAGUACACAAAUGAAAUGCGAUUGUCUUCGUGGGUUGCAUCGUAUGAUUUGGAGCAAGUCUUCAGGUCUAAUAUAAAGAUCUUUCAAAUAAAUCAUCCAGCUAA
This is a long non-coding RNA of Homo sapiens (human), 764 nucleotides long. RefSeq lists it as uncharacterized. NCBI's taxonomy places the organism in Eukaryota, Metazoa, Chordata, Mammalia, Primates, Hominidae. The record is from RefSeq and is a predicted model, not a curated record. The transcript has 5 exons.